GUGUUGUAAGUGUUUAAGGGCGCAUGGUGGAUGCCUUGGCACUGGGAGCCGAUGAAGGACGUUGGAGGCUGCGAUAUGCCUCGGGGAGCUGCCAACCGAGCGUUGAUCCGAGGAUGUCCGAAUGGGGAAACCCGGCACGAGUGAUGUCGUGUCACCCUGCACUGAAUACAUAGGUGUAGGGAGGGAACGCGGGGAAGUGAAACAUCUCAGUACCCGUAGGAAGAGAAAACAAAAUGUGAUUCCGUGAGUAGUGGCGAGCGAAAGCGGAGGAUGGCUAAACCGUAUGCAUGUGAUACCGGGUAGGGGUUGUGUGUGCGGGGUUGUGGGACCUGUUUUUCCAGCUCUACCUGGCUGGAGGGUAGUGAGAAAAUGUUGUGGUUAGCGGAAGUGGUUUGGGAUGACCUGCCGUAGACGGUGAGAGCCCGGUACGUGAAAACCUGACAUCUACCUUAAUGGUGUUCCCGAGUAGCAGCGGGCCCGUGAAAUCUGCUGUGAAUCUGCCGGGACCACCCGGUAAGCCUGAAUACUUCCCAGUGACCGAUAGCGGAUUAGUACCGUGAGGGAAUGGUGAAAAGUACCCCGGGAGGGGAGUGAAAUAGUACCUGAAACCGUGCGCUUACAAUCCGUCAGAGCCCUCCUUCGUGGUGGGGUGAUGGCGUGCCUUUUGAAGAAUGAGCCUGCGAGUCAGGGACAUGUCGCGAGGUUAACCCGGGUGGGGUAGCCGCAGCGAAAGCGAGUCUGAAUAGGGCGUAUCCACACAGGAGUGUGUGGUGUAGUGGUGUGUUCUGGACCCGAAGCGGAGUGAUCUACCCAUGGCCAGGGUGAAGCGCGGGUAAGACCGCGUGGAGGCCCGAACCCACUUAGGUUGAAGACUGAGGGGAUGAGCUGUGGGUAGGGGUGAAAGGCCAAUCAAACUCCGUGAUAGCUGGUUCUCCCCGAAAUGCAUUUAGGUGCAGCGUCACAUGUUUCUUGUUGGAGGUAGAGCUACUGGAUGGCCGAUGGGCCCCACAGGGUUACUGACGUCAGCCAAACUCCGAAUGCCGACAAGUCCAAGAGUGUGGCAGUGAGACGGCGGGGGAUAAGCUCCGUGCGUCGAGAGGGAAACAGCCCAGAUCGCCGGCUAAGGCCCCUAAGCGUGUGCUAAGUGGAAAAGGAUGUGCAGUCGCGAAGACAACCAGGAGGUUGGCUUAGAAGCAGCCACCCUUGAAAGAGUGCGUAAUAGCUCACUGGUCAAGUGAUUGUGCGCCGAUAAUGUAGCGGGGCUCAAGCACACCGCCGAAGCCGCGGCAGCCAUUUAUGGCUGGGUAGGGGAGCGUCCUGCAUCCGGUGAAGCAGCAGAGUGAUCUAGCUGUGGAGGGUGUGGGAGUGAGAAUGCAGGCAUGAGUAGCGAAUAGGCAAGUGAGAACCUUGCCCGCCGAAAGACCAAGGGUUCCUGGGCCAGGCCAGUCCUCCCAGGGUGAGUCGGGACCUAAGGCGAGGCCGACAGGCGUAGUCGAUGGACAACGGGUUGAUAUUCCCGUACCCGUGUAUGUGCGUCCCUGAUGAAUCCAUUGUGCUAACCAUCCAAAACCACCGUGACCAAUCCCUUCGGGGUGCGGCGUUGGUGGGGCUGCGUGGGACCCCGGUGGGUAGUAGUCAAGCGAUGGGGUGACGCAGGAAGGUAGCCGUACCAGUCAGUGGUUGUACUGGGGUAAGCCGGUAGGGCGAAACGUAGGCAAAUCCGCGUUUCAUACAGCCUGAGAGGUGAUGCAUAGCCGUUUGAGGCGAAUUCGGUGAUCCUAUGCUGCCAAGAAAAGCCUCUAGCGAGGACAUACACGGCCCGUACCCCAAACCAACACAGGUGGUCAGGUAGAGAAUACUAAGGCGUACGAGUGAACUAUGGUUAAGGAACUCGGCAAAAUGCCCCCGUAACUUCGGGAGAAGGGGGACCCCCAUAUCGUCAAGGCUCUUGCGGCCGGCAGCGGGAGGGGGUGGCACAAACCAGUGAGAAGCGACUGUUUACUAAAAACACAGGUCCGUGCGAAGUCGCAAGACGAUGUAUACGGACUGACGCCUGCCCGGUGCUGGAAGGUUAAGAGGACCUGUUAACCCUUCGGGGUGAAGCAGAGAAUUUAAGCCCCAGUAAACGGCGGUGGUAACUAUAACCAUCCUAAGGUAGCGAAAUUCCUUGUCGGGUAAGUUCCGACCUGCACGAAUGGCGUAACGACUUCUCAACUGUCUCAACCAUAGACUCGGCGAAAUUGCACUACGAGUAAAGAUGCUCGUUACGCGCGGCAGGACGAA
The sequence is a ribosomal RNA, 2283 nucleotides long. It matches the Rfam family "Bacterial large subunit ribosomal RNA", at positions 1 to 2084 of the family's 2925-position model.